Molecule: ribosomal RNA, 433 nt
Filed under: uncultured bacterium
Lineage: Bacteria
Description: partial 16S ribosomal RNA
Rfam family: Bacterial small subunit ribosomal RNA
Source: RNAcentral
AACGAACGCUGGCGGCAUGCCUAACACAUGCAAGUCGAACGAGACCUCCGGGUCUAGUGGCGCACGGGUGCGUAACGCGUGGGAACCUGCCCUUAGGUUCGGAAUACCUCCCCGAAAGGGGUGCUAAUACCGGAUAAUGUCUUCGGACCAAGGAUUUAUCGCCUUUGGAUGGGCCCGCGUUGGAUUAGCUAGUUGGUAGGGUAAAAGCCUACCAAGGCGACGAUCCAUAGCUGGUCUGGGAGGAUGAUCAGCCACACUGGGACUGAGACACGGCCCAGACUCCUACGGGAGGCAGCAGUGGGGAAUAUUGGACAAUGGGCGAAAGCCUGAUCCAGCAAUGCCGGGUGAGUGAUGAAGGCCUUAGGGUUGUAAAGCUCUUUUACCCGGGAUGAUAAUGACAGUACCGGGAGAAUAAGCUCCGGCUAACUCCGUG